Populus nigra (black poplar) is the source of this 3035-nucleotide RNA transcript. RefSeq lists it as uncharacterized. NCBI's taxonomy places the organism in Eukaryota, Viridiplantae, Streptophyta, Magnoliopsida, Malpighiales, Salicaceae. The record is from RefSeq and is a predicted model, not a curated record. The transcript has 3 exons.
AAACACGAGACAGCAACAGCAGCAGCAGCAGCAAUUUCUUUUCACUAUUUUAAUUUUCCCUUCGCGUUUCCAGAAAAGUAAAAGCUCCUCCCUCCAGUCUUGGAUCCUAACAAUGGAUCUUCUUCAAAACUACCAAAACGACGGAGAAUUAGACCAAAACCCUAAUUCCUCUCCGGAUUCAUCCCCUCCACGUCUCCUCCCUUCCAAAUCCGCCGCUCCCAAAGUCGACGACACCAUGCUAGCCCUAACAGUGGCCAAUCAAAUGCUCUCUAAACCUAUCGACCCCGUCCAGCACGUCGUCGCUUUCAACCCUACCUACGACCAGAUGUGGGCUCCGGUUUUAGGCCCCGCCCAUCCCUACGCCAAGGACGGCAUUGCCCAGGGCAUGCGCAACCACAAGCUCGGCUUCGUCGAGGACGCCGCCAUUGAUUCCUUCGUCUUCGACGAGCAGUACAACACUUUCCACAAGUAUGGCUACGCGGCUGACCCCUCUGCUUCUGCAGGUAAUAAUUAUAUUGGUGAUUUGGAUGUUUUAGAAAAAAAUAAUGGGAUUUCUGUUUAUAAUAUUCCGCAACAUGAACAAAAGAAGCGAAAGAUUGAGAAGAAAACGGAAGCUGCUGAGGAUGACGAUGAUGGAAUGGACAAGGAAGAGGUUGAGAAUCCGGCUACGGAUGCGUGGUUGAUGAAGAAUAGGAAGAGCCCAUGGGCUGGUAAGAAGGAGGGAUUACAAACUGAGUUGACUGAAGAGCAGAAAAAAUAUGCGGAAGAGCACGCGAGGAAGAAGGAGGAGAAAGCUGGUGGUGAAAAAGGUGAGCUCGUUGCUGAUAAGACUACUUUUCAUGGUAAAGAAGAGAGGGAUUAUCAAGGGAGGUCGUGGAUUGCGCCACCUAAAGAUGCUAAAGCUAGUAAUGACCAUUGUUAUAUACCCAAGAGAUUGGUGCAUACAUGGAGUGGCCAUACUAAAGGAGUUUCUGCUAUAAGGUUUUUCCCUAAACAUGGCCAUUUGAUACUUUCUGCGGGUAUGGAUACGAAGGUGAAGAUAUGGGACGUGUUUAAUUCGGGAAAGUGUAUGAGAACUUAUAUGGGUCAUUCUAAGGCUGUCAGGGAUAUUUCAUUUUGUAACGAUGGCUCCAAGUUCUUAACUGCUGGUUAUGAUAAGAAUAUUAAGUACUGGGACACAGAAACGGGCCAGGUUAUCUCUUCGUUUUCGACUGGGAAGAUUCCAUAUGUUGUUAAGCUCAAUCCUGAUGAUGAUAAGCAGAAUAUAUUGUUGGCGGGUAUGAGUGAUAAGAAGAUUGUGCAGUGGGAUAUGAACACGGGGCAGAUUACUCAGGAGUAUGACCAGCAUUUGGGGGCAGUGAAUACCAUCACAUUUGUGGAUAAUAACAGGAGAUUUGUUACUUCAAGUGAUGAUAAAUCACUCCGUGUAUGGGAAUUUGGGAUCCCUGUUGUUAUUAAGUAUAUUAGUGAGCCUCACAUGCAUUCUAUGCCAUCGAUCUCUCUUCAUCCCAAUAUGAAUUGGCUUGCUGCGCAGAGUUUGGAUAACCAGAUUCUUAUUUAUAGUACUAGGGAAAGAUUCCAGUUGAAUAAGAAGAAGAGGUUCGCUGGUCACAUUGUGGCUGGUUAUGCUUGUCAAGUCAAUUUCUCACCAGAUGGAAGAUUUGUUAUGUCAGGAGAUGGUGAGGGUAAAUGCUGGUUUUGGGACUGGAAGAGUUGUAAAGUUUUCAGGACCCUCAAAUGUCACGAGGGAGUCUGCAUUGGGGCUGAGUGGCAUCCGCUGGAGCAAAGUAAAGUGGCCACUUGUGGCUGGGAUGGAUUGAUUAAAUACUGGGACUAGUUGCUUUCAGAUCUGACUUGGCACAUAUAUCAGUUGAGCAACCCACUUCAUACACCCUGCCAGAGAGACACUACAGAUAUCCUGCUGAAUAGAUGAGUGGAAGAACCAAACUAGUUUCUUCUAUCCAGAAAUUUAUGUGCAGCAAUUGGUGAGAAUUGAUUGAGGACCAUUGAGAAACUCAUCCCAACGUUUGCAAGGAUCCUCAUGAAGAUACCACCACCUGCAGAGUCUUUCAACUUGUGGCAUUCAGUUUCUGUUGAAGGAUCUUGUUCAGAAGUCCUGGAUUGGCCUUACCUUUUGAUAAUUUCAUCACCUGCAAAUGAAUCAGCGUUCAGAAUUAUCCCAAUCUACUAAAGCAUAAUCAGGGGAAAAUAAAUUACAUGAAGGUUCGUCUUAUAACUUGUAAUGGUUUGUAUACCUGGCCAGCAAAAAAACCUUGUAUCUUAGUUUUUCCGGCUUGGUAUUGUUCCAACUGCUUUGGGUUCUCUGAAAGCACUUUAUCUACCAUCUUCUCAAUAUGAGCAGGAUCUACUAUCUGUUAUAUUGAAACAUGUGAGAAACCCACCUAUUGGAACUAAAAUAGUGUUCCUCUCCUGAUUUCCAUACAACAUUUAUGCCAUUUUCAAUCACUGAAAUUACACUCAUCUCACUGUUAGAUGUGUUAAGAAACUGAACCACAGAUAAAGCUUGGCGGACACCUCCUCCAGCCUUUUCUACAACCAUAGAGCACAUUGCAUUUUCAAGCGAAGCUUCUAAGCUUUGCCAACACCAUGACCAACUCAUUAGACAAUUGAAGCACAAAGGUAAUCGACAAUUGAAGCACUAAGGUAAUCGAUCACACAGCUGAAUGAUAUAUUAUUUGUUGGCACCUUUUAAAGAGAGUAAGGGUGGAAACUUGAUUAGAAGAUUCAACAAUCUCAGCUUUUCUUCACGUCUCUGGUUCUCAACACCAUGCUAGACCAAGAAGGCUUGUAAGGAAAUGACACAAUCAUCCAGCUGCGCUUCCAGUUAAUUUGUUUAUUUCUGCCGUUUGGCACGGUAAAGGCAAUCACCCUUAUUUUUUAGCUUAUUUAUGCAUAAACUCAGGGCAUGUACUUCUAAACUAAAGUUGUUGAACACUUUGUUAUUGCUGUGAACGAUAGUUAAAUAUGCUGCAGGGGCAAAGUGAGAGACUUGCCUGAACCAAAUUUUUUUCUUC